UUAUUUAUUUUCUCGUUGUGUUUUUGUUGGGUUUGUGGUUGUUUAUUGAAGUAUCAUUUUUGUUUUUGUAAGUUUUUGAUUUAAUUUUUGUUACGAUAGUUUAUUUGUACCGUGAGGGGAAGUUAAUUGUUUUGUUAAAAGCUGAUUUUGUUUGUUGUACCUUGUGUAUCAGGGUUCAUUGAAUUUUAUUAUUUAUUUUUAUUUCCCGAUUCUAAAAGAGUUAAUGGUUUAUGUUGGUUACUGUUUCAGUAGUAUUAAUAAUAGGUCAUUGGCAGUGAAAUGUUAUUCGUUUUUGGUGGUCUCUGGUUUUCCAAGAAAUGAAUUUAAUUCAUGCGUCUUAUUUAGUUGUUACUUUUGGUUUGAUUUUGUUUUAUUUGACGUUAAGAUUGAGGGGGAUUAGCUCUUCGUUUUAUUUUUAUAAUUUUUUGUUUGUUUUAAGUUUUGUGGAUUUUAUAGUGAUUUUCGGCUUGAUUAUGUUAAAAUUUUAUUUGUUCUGUUUUUGAUUUGUUUGUUUGAUUUAGUGGUUUAUUGGAAUGUUCUCUUUGUCUUUUUUUGUGUAGUAAUUAUUAUGGAAUUAGUAAAUUUUAUUUUUGUAUCGUUUUUUGGGUGCUAAUUUCUUUUGAGGAAUUAGGCNNNNNNNNNNNNNNNNNNNNAUGGUUUGACGAGACAUAUGCUGUCUUAGGUUUGUAGAAUUGGUUGUGUUGAAUUUGGUUUUUGAGUUAAAAUUCUUAAAUGUUUUUGUGGGACGAGAAGACCCUAUAGAGUUUAACAUUUGAUGUAUAGUUUUGUUUUGUUUGUUUUGGGUUGUUAUGUACGUUUCUUGUUUUGUUGGGGUGAUGGGAGGAAUUUUCGUAACUCCUCUUUGUUGUUGGGAUAUUUAUUUAUAUUUGUUUUGAUCCAUUGUUUUGAUUAUAAGAUUAAAUUACCUUAGGGAUAACAGCGUUAUCCUCCCUGAGAGUUCUUAUUGGCGGGGGGGUUUGCGACCUCGAUGUUGGAUUAAGAUUAAUUUUUGGUGUAGGAGCUGAAGAUGAUUAGGUCUGUUCGACCUUUAAAAUCUUACAUGAUCUGAGUUCAGACCGGCGUGAGCCAGGUUGGUUUCUAUCUAUAAUGAAUUUUUAUACCUUAGUACGAGAGGACCGGGUAUUUGGAAUAAUUUUGUUUGUUUAUUGUUUGUUAUUAAUUGG
This 1184-nucleotide ribosomal RNA is filed under the name Microtermes sp. E16. RNAcentral describes it as "16S ribosomal RNA". The stretch from base 739 to 1108 matches the Rfam family "Bacterial large subunit ribosomal RNA", at positions 2073 to 2647 of the family's 2925-position model. Lineage: Eukaryota; Metazoa; Arthropoda; Insecta; Blattodea; Termitidae. The record is from RNAcentral.